GACGAACGCUGGCGGCGUGCCUAAUACAUGCAAGUUGAGCGCUGAAGGUUGGUACUUGUACCGACUGGAUGAGCAGCGAACGGGUGAGUAACGCGUGGGGAAUCUGCCUUUGAGCGGGGGACAACAUUUGGAAACGAAUGCUAAUACCGCAUAAAAACUUUAAACACAAGUUUUAAGUUUGAAAGAUGCAAUUGCAUCACUCAAAGAUGAUCCCGCGUUGUAUUAGCUAGUUGGUGAGGUAAAGGCUCACCAAGGCGAUGAUACAUAGCCGACCUGAGAGGGUGGUCGGCCAGCUUGGGAGUGAGACACGGCCCAAACGCAUACAGGAGGCAGCAGUAGGGAAUCUGCGGCAAUGGACGAAAGUCUGACCGAGAAACGCCGAGUGAGUGAAGAAGGUUUUCGGAUCGUAAAACUCUGUUGGUAGAGAAGAACGUUGGUGAGAGUGGAAAGAUCAUCAAGUGACGGUAACUACCCAGAAAGGGACGGCUAACUACGUG
This 497-nucleotide ribosomal RNA is filed under the name uncultured bacterium. RNAcentral describes it as "partial 16S ribosomal RNA". It matches the Rfam family "Bacterial small subunit ribosomal RNA", at positions 28 to 507 of the family's 1533-position model. The record is from RNAcentral.